GAUGAAGAACGCAGCGAAAUGCGAUAAGUAAUGUGAAUUGCAGAAUUCAGUGAAUCAUCGAAUCUUUGAACGCACCUUGCGCCCUUUGGUAUUCUGAGGAGCAUGCCUGUUUGAGUGUCAUUAAAUUCUCAACUACACUGACUUUGAAUUGGUGUGGCUUGGAUUUGGGGGGAAAAUUGUUGUGGGCUUUUUGUAUAGUCUGCUCCCCUGAAAUUGAUUAGCGGUACCUUUGUGGAACUGUCUACAGGUGUGAUAAUUAUCUACAUCUUAGACAUCUGCUGGAAUGCUGCUUUCUAAACCUUACUUGUAUUGACAAUCUUGACCUCAAAUCAGGUAGGACUACCCGCUGAACUUAAGCAUAUCAAUAAGCGGAGGA
Molecule: unclassified non-coding RNA, 376 nt
Filed under: soil metagenome
Description: partial contains 5.8S ribosomal RNA, internal transcribed spacer 2, and large subunit ribosomal RNA
Rfam family: 5.8S ribosomal RNA (bases 1-120)
Source: RNAcentral